This 254-nucleotide ribosomal RNA is filed under the name uncultured bacterium. RNAcentral's name for it is "partial 16S ribosomal RNA". It matches the Rfam family "Bacterial small subunit ribosomal RNA", at positions 524 to 776 of the family's 1533-position model. The record is from RNAcentral.
UACGUAGGGUGCGAGCGUUGUCCGGAAUUAUUGGGCGUAAAGAGCUCGUAGGCGGUCUGUCGCGUCGAUCGUGAAAACUUGGGGCUUAACCCUGAGCUUGCGGUCGAUACGGGCAUGACUGGAGUUCGGCAGGGGAGACUGGAAUUCCUGGUGUAGCGGUGAAAUGCGCAGAUAUCAGGAGGAACACCGGUGGCGAAGGCGGGUCUCUGGGCCGAUACUGACGCUGAGGAGCGAAAGCUAGGGGAGCAAACAGG